CUCAAACCCACACACGUGUCGACACGAUGGCCUGGGUGCCCGGUUUCCCUGGAAACACGGGUUGGUCAUUGGGAUACGUGGAGGCCCAAC
RNAcentral lists this small RNA (90 nucleotides) under Pseudomonas mosselii. RNAcentral's name for it is "t44 RNA". It matches the Rfam family "t44 RNA", at positions 12 to 95 of the family's 95-position model. Rfam says of the family: This family consists of a number of bacterial RNA genes of between 135 and 170 bases in length. The t44 gene is found between the map and rpsB genes in all species in the full alignment apart from Shigella flexneri. The record is from RNAcentral. RNAcentral also lists the same sequence under 1 other name. Lineage: Bacteria; Pseudomonadati; Pseudomonadota; Gammaproteobacteria; Pseudomonadales; Pseudomonadaceae.